This 486-nucleotide ribosomal RNA is filed under the name Rhinella nesiotes (Laguna toad). Its description in RNAcentral is "partial 12S ribosomal RNA". It matches the Rfam family "Bacterial small subunit ribosomal RNA", at positions 794 to 1522 of the family's 1533-position model. The record is from RNAcentral. Lineage: Eukaryota; Metazoa; Chordata; Amphibia; Anura; Bufonidae.
GCCCAACCGUAAACUUUUAAUUACAUCUUAAUCGCCAGGGAACUACGAGCCAAGCUUAAAACCCAAAGGACUUGACGGUACCCCAUAUCCCCCUAGAGGAGCCUGUCCUAUAAUCGAUAAUCCUCGUUUAACCUCACCAUUUUUAGUUAUCAGCCUGUAUACCUCCGUCGUCAGCUUACCACGUGAGCGCAAAUUAGUGAGCCUAAUGUUUUUCACCAAUACGUCAGGUCAAGGUGCAGUAAAUGAAAUGGAAAGAGAUGGGCUACACUUUCUAUUUUAGAAGAAACGAAAAACUACCUAUGAAACCUAGUUGGAAGGCGGAUUUAGCAGUAAAAGGGAAUCAGAAUAUCCAUUUUAACCCGGCACUGGGGUGUGUACACACCGCCCGUCACCCUCUUCAGAGCUACAACAAGUAUCAACUCACCUAAGCAUAAUAGAAGAGGCAAGUCGUAACAUGGUAAGUAUACCGGAAGGUGUGCUUGGAAA